GCUGGGCGUGGUGGUGCAUGCCUGUAAUCCCAGCUACUCGGGAGGCUGAGGCAGGAAAAUCACUUGAACCCGGGAGGCAGGGGUUGCAGUGAGCUGAGAUCAUGAGAUCACACCACUGCACUCCAGCCUGGGUGACAGAGUGAGACUCUGUCUCAA
This 156-nucleotide non-coding RNA is filed under the name Nomascus leucogenys (northern white-cheeked gibbon). Lineage: Eukaryota; Metazoa; Chordata; Mammalia; Primates; Hylobatidae. The record is from Rfam by way of RNAcentral.